RNAcentral lists this ribosomal RNA (497 nucleotides) under uncultured bacterium. RNAcentral describes it as "partial 16S ribosomal RNA". It matches the Rfam family "Bacterial small subunit ribosomal RNA", at positions 28 to 507 of the family's 1533-position model. The record is from RNAcentral.
GACGAACGCUGGCGGCGUGCCUAAUACAUGCAAGUUGAGCGCUGAAGGUUGGUACUUGUACCAACUGGAUGAGCAGCGCACGGGUGAGUAACGCGUGGGGAAUCUGCCUUUGAGCGGGGGACAACAUUUGGAAACGAAUGCUAAUACCGCAUAAAAACUUUAAACACAAGUUUUAAGUUUGAAAGAUGCAAUUGCAUCACUCAAAGAUGAUCCCGCGUUGUAUUAGCUAGUUGGUGAGGUAAAGGCUCACCAAGGCGAUGAUACAUAGCCGACCUGAGAGGGUGAUCGGCCACAUUGGGACUGAGACACGGCCCAAACUCCUACGGGAGGCAGCAGUAGGGAAUCUUCGGCAAUGGACGAAAGUCUGACCGGGCAACGCCGCGUGAGUGAAGAAGGUUUUCGGAUCGUAAAACUCUGUUGGUAGAGAAGAACGUUGGUGAGAGUGGAAAGCUCAUCAAGUGACGGUAACUACCCAGAAAGGGACGGCUAACUACGUG